AGUGAACGCUGGCGGUAGGCCUAACACAUGCAAGUCGAACGGCAGCACCGUAAGAGCUUGCUCUUACGGGUGGCGGGUGGCGGACGGGUGAGGAAUAUAUCGGAAUCUACUUUUUGGUGGGGGAUCACGUAGGGAAAGUUACGCUAAUAUCGCAUCUGACCCAGGGUGGUAGGUAGGGGAUCUUCGGACCUUGCGGGAAUGGAUGAGCCGAUGACGGAUUAGAUAGUUGGCGGGUUAAUGGCCCACCAAGGCGACGAUAGGUAGCUGGUCUGAGAGGAUGGUCGCCCACACGGGAACUGAGACACGGUCCAGACUCCUACGGGAGGCAGCAGUGGGGAAUAUUGGACAAUGGGCGCAAUCCUGAUCCAGCCAUACCGCGUGGGUGAAGAAGGCCUUCGGGUUGUAAAGCCCGUUUGUUGGGAAAGAAAAGCAGCAGGUUAAUACCCAGCUGUUCUGACGGUACCCAAAGAAUAAGCACCGGCUAACUUCGUG
This 492-nucleotide ribosomal RNA is filed under the name uncultured bacterium. RNAcentral describes it as "partial 16S ribosomal RNA". It matches the Rfam family "Bacterial small subunit ribosomal RNA", at positions 29 to 507 of the family's 1533-position model. The record is from RNAcentral.